RNAcentral lists this ribosomal RNA (367 nucleotides) under uncultured Lactarius. RNAcentral's name for it is "eukaryotic LSU rRNA". The stretch from base 76 to 229 matches the Rfam family "5.8S ribosomal RNA". The record is from RNAcentral. Lineage: Eukaryota; Fungi; Basidiomycota; Agaricomycetes; Russulales; Russulaceae.
CUCGCGCUUUCACACAAACCCCCCUUUUAAAAGUGUAGAAUGACCUCAUGUAUGCGUUAACCCGCAAUCAAUACAUACUUUCAACAACGGAUCUCUUGGCUCUCGCAUCGAUGAAGAACGCAGCGAAAUGCGAUACGUAAUGUGAAUUGCAGAAUUCAGUGAAUCAUCGAAUCUUUGAACGCACCUUGCGCCCCUUGUAUUCCGAGGGGCACACCUCGUUUGAGUGUCGUGAAAACCUCAACCUCCUUGGUUUCUUCUGGAGACCACAGCAGGCUUGGACUUUGGAGGCCUUUGCUGGCACCUCUCUUUCUGAAGGCCAGCUCCUCUUAAACAAAUUAGCAGGGUCCUCUUUGCUGAUCCUCGACGU